Molecule: RNA transcript, 935 nt
Organism: Notolabrus celidotus (New Zealand spotty)
Lineage: Eukaryota; Metazoa; Chordata; Actinopteri; Labriformes; Labridae
Gene name: stress-associated endoplasmic reticulum protein 1-like
Exons: 4
Source: RefSeq, a predicted model, not a curated record
GCUUCCGGUUUCAAAAUGUUUUACCUUGAAAGAACAAACAGGAAGUUGUGUAGUGACGCACACUAACUUCACCAGGGCAGAGGCAGUGUGUGACGUGGCCGUGGGGGCGGGGCUUCGUGCUUUUGAGGACGUAGCGUUCAAUCGGGCUCUCCCAGUCCGUCAGCCGAGCAGGAUCCACCGCAGCGAGCCCGCAGAGCAGAAUCCCCUCCAUCAGACCCUCACAGACAGACCCAGGUUAAUCCCUGAAGAGGACCCGCACACAGACCCUCACAGACAGACCGAGGCUAGACCCUGAAGAGGACCCGAGGACAGGAUGGUGGCCAAACAGAGGAUCCGGAUGGCGAACGAGAAACACAGCAAGAACAUCACUCAGCGAGGAAACGUCAUCAAGUCAGCGAGGGCCCUGACUGAGGAUAAAGGUGUGGGUCCCUGGCUGCUCGCACUCUUCAUCUUCGUUGUCUGUGGAUCGGCCAUCUUUCAGAUCAUCCAGAGCAUCAGGAUGGGCAUGUAGAAUGAUGUCACCAGCCGGGGGCGGGGCUUGACUUCAUAGCCCCGCCCCUUCCUCCCUCUGAAGCCUCCUGAACAUUCCUGACGUGUGGCAGCUGACCGCAGACUCAGACCUGACCAAACCGACCCCCUUUGAACCUGGUCUAACGCCGUGUUGGUUCACAUGUUCCUAUGCGCUGACCUUCUCAGCGUCUGUAAACAAACACCACGUGCCUUUCUCUGUUUACCUGUGCUUAAGCCCCGCCCCCGCUGAUUACACCUUAUCAGUACUGCUGAGGGAGGGGUCCAAGUCCACGCUGUCCCUGUAAACUGACCCCGAGUAUAAUCCAGACCUACAUUACAUUCCCCCCCUCCUCUUCCUCAGUGUGAGAUGAUGAAGGUCUUUUGAAUCAGAAGGUUUGAGGUGCUGACAGGUGUGUGUGUGACAG